ACGGGUGAGUAAUGUCUGGGGAUCUGCCCGAUAGAGGGGGAUAACCACUGGAAACGGUGGCUAAUACCGCAUAACGUCGCAAGACCAAAGAGGGGGACCUUCGGGCCUCUCACUAUCGGAUGAACCCAGAUGGGAUUAGCUAGUAGGCGGGGUAAUGGCCCACCUAGGCGACGAUCCCUAGCUAGUCUGAGAGGAUGACCAGCCACACUGGAACUGAGACACGGUCCAGACUCCUACGGGAGGCAGCAGUGGGGAAUAUUGCACAAUGGGCGCAAGCCUGAUGCAGCCAUGCCGCGUGUAUGAAGAAGGCCUUCGGGUUGUAAAGUACUUUCAGCGGGGAGGAAGGCGAUGCGGUUAAUAACCGCGUCGAUUGACGUUACCCGCAGAAGAAGCACCGGCUAACUCCGUGCCAGCAGCCGCGGUAAUACGGAGGGUGCAAGCGUUAAUCGGAAUUACUGGGCGUAAAGCGCACGCAGGCGGUCUGUUAAGUCAGAUGUGAAAUCCCCGGGCUUAACCUGGGAACUGCAUUUGAAACUGGCAGGCUUGAGUCUUGUAGAGGGGGGUAGAAUUCCAGGUGUAGC
Molecule: ribosomal RNA, 581 nt
Filed under: uncultured Pantoea sp.
Lineage: Bacteria; Pseudomonadati; Pseudomonadota; Gammaproteobacteria; Enterobacterales; Erwiniaceae
Description: bacterial SSU rRNA
Rfam family: Bacterial small subunit ribosomal RNA
Source: RNAcentral